RNAcentral lists this ribosomal RNA (382 nucleotides) under uncultured bacterium. RNAcentral describes it as "partial 16S ribosomal RNA". It matches the Rfam family "Bacterial small subunit ribosomal RNA", at positions 355 to 729 of the family's 1533-position model. The record is from RNAcentral.
UGGGGAAUUUUGGACAAUGGGCGAAAGCCUGAUCCAGCAAUGCCGCGUGUGUGAAGAAGGCCUUCGGGUUGUAAAGCACUUUUGUCCGGAAAGAAAUCCUUGGCUCUAAUACAGUCGGGGGAUGACGGUACCGGAAGAAUAAGCACCGGCUAACUACGUGCCAGCAGCCGCGGUAAUACGUAGGGUGCAAGCGUUAAUCGGAAUUACUGGGCGUAAAGCGUGCGCAGGCGGUUUGCUAAGACCGAUGUGAAAUCCCCGGGCGUCAACCUGGGAACUGCAUUGGUGACUGGCAGGCUAGAGUAUGGCAGAGGGGGUAGAAUUCCACGUGUAGCAGUGAAAUGCGUAGAGAUGUGGAGGAAUACCGAUGGCGAAGGCAGCCCCC